RNAcentral lists this ribosomal RNA (742 nucleotides) under uncultured bacterium. Its description in RNAcentral is "bacterial SSU rRNA". It matches the Rfam family "Bacterial small subunit ribosomal RNA", at positions 8 to 796 of the family's 1533-position model. The record is from RNAcentral.
AGAGUUUGAUCCUGGCUCAGAGCGAUCGCUGGCGGCAGGCUUAACACAUGCAAGUCGAACGGGCACUUCGGUGUCAGUGGCAGACGGGUGAGUAACACGUGGGAACGUACCUUUUGGUUCGGAACAACUGAGGGAAACUUCAGCUAAUACCGGAUAAGCCCUUACGGGGAAAGAUUUAUCGCCGAAAGAUCGGCCCGCGUCUGAUUAGCUAGUUGGUAGGGUAAUGGCCUACCAAGGCGACGAUCUGUAGCUGGUCUGAGAGGAUGAUCAGCCACAUUGGGACUGAGACACGGCCCAAACUCCUACGGGAGGCAGCAGUGGGGAAUAUUGGACAAUGGGGGCAACCCUGAUCCAGCCAUGCCGCGUGAGUGAUGAAGGCCCUAGGGUUGUAAAGCUCUUUUGUGCGGGAAGAUAAUGACGGUACCGCAAGAAUAAGCCCCGGCUAACUUCGUGCCAGCAGCCGCGGUAAUACGAAGGGGGCUAGCGUUGCUCGGAAUCACUGGGCGUAAAGGGUGCGUAGGCGGGUUUUUAAGUCAGAGGUGAAAUCCUGGAGCUCAACUCCAGAACUGCCUUUGAUACUGGAAAUCUUGAGUAUGGGAGAGGUGAGUGGAACUGCGAGUGUAGAGGUGAAAUUCGUAGAUAUUCGCAAGAACACCAGUGGCGAAGGCGGCUCACUGGCCCAUAACUGACGCUGAGGCACGAAAGCGUGGGGAGCAAACAGGAUUAGAUACCCUGGUAGUCC